RNAcentral lists this ribosomal RNA (264 nucleotides) under uncultured bacterium. Its description in RNAcentral is "partial 16S ribosomal RNA". It matches the Rfam family "Bacterial small subunit ribosomal RNA", at positions 109 to 353 of the family's 1533-position model. The record is from RNAcentral.
AGUAACACGUAAACAACCUGCCUUCAGGAUGGGGACAACAGACGGAAACGACUGCUAAUACCGAAUAAGUUCCAAGAGCCGCAUGGCCCAUGGAAGAAAAAGUAGGCCUCUACCUGUAAGCUAUCGCCUGAAGAGGGGUUUGCGUCUGAUUAGCUGGUUGGAGGGGUAACGGCCCACCAAGGCGACGAUCAGUAGCCGGUCUGAGAGGAUGAACGGCCACACUGGAACUGAGACACGGUCCAAACUCCUACGGGAGGCAGCAUG